GUAGUCUGCAACCCGACUACAUGAAGCUGGAAUCGCUAGUAAUCGCGGAUCAGAAUGCCGCGGUGAAUACGUUCCCGGGUCUUGUACACACCGCCCGUCACACCAUGGGAGGUCGGAAAUGCCCGAAGUCUGUGACCCAACCUGAGGAGGGAGGGAGCAGCCGAAGGCAGGUCUGAUGACUGGGGUGAAGUCGUAACAAGGUACC
This 205-nucleotide ribosomal RNA is filed under the name uncultured bacterium. Its description in RNAcentral is "partial 16S ribosomal RNA". It matches the Rfam family "Bacterial small subunit ribosomal RNA", at positions 1300 to 1500 of the family's 1533-position model. The record is from RNAcentral.